RNAcentral lists this non-coding RNA (26 nucleotides) under Rattus norvegicus (Norway rat). Lineage: Eukaryota; Metazoa; Chordata; Mammalia; Rodentia; Muridae. The record is from RNAcentral.
UGAGAAUCACUUCCUUAUUCCCCGUC